UCCCGCCCCAUUUUAUAUGAGAGCGAGAGAGACCGGAGAAAAGCCCACAAGGAAGAGAAAUGAUGAGUUCUGGAACUGGUGGUUCAUCCAAGAGAAGUAAAACCAAGUCCUGCAACUCUGGUUCAGCCCCGAAAUGCAAGAGAAACAGGGAACAAAAAGCCCUAGGUGUGGCUUGGGGCGCCAAUUCCUUCUCUGCCUUCUCCUUCUCCUCCACCAAGAAGCGGAGGAAUGCACCUUUCUCUGACUUUGCCUCUUACAUGGAGUCCAAAGAGCGCAAGCUCCGUGUUCAGUUCGAUGCUGAUGCAUCUAAUUCAUCCAACAGAGAUUCCGAUGUAAACAAAUGUAUUUUUCAUGGAAUUUCAAUCUUCGUGGAUGGGUUCACAAUUCCUUCCAGUCAGGAGCUUAGGGGUUUUAUGUUGAAACAUGGGGGCCGCUUUGAGAAUUACUUCUCUAGACAUCGUGUCACGCACAUCAUUUGUAACAACCUGCCGGAUAGUAAACUAAAGAAUCUCAGGGCGUUCAGCAGGGGCCUCCCAAUUGUGAAGCCUGCAUGGCUGCUGGACUGCAUUGCUGCUAAUGAACUUUUGAAUUGGGUCCCCUACCAACUUGUUCAACUGGGCAAGGACAUUCCUAAGCAACAGAAAUUGCCUACAUAUUUCUCUCCUAAGAGUGUCUCAACAUCAAAGUCUUUUGAAACUCCUACAAAAUCUCAUCUGAAAAUUUACACUGAUGGAAUGUCUACAAGCAGUGAAGGAUCUAUAGAUAAGGAUAGUGAUUCAUUAACUGGUGGGUCCAACCAUGAAAAAGUUAAUGAUGGUUGUUUAGAUAAUAAAAAGAAAAGAGAGCCCCUUGUACUAACAGCUGAAGAUGCUGAGAAAUCUAGAUGGUCACAUGUUAAGGGUUCAAUGUUAGUUGCAAAUAUACUUGAAGCGACUUCAACAGUUGAAGAAGCGGAUCAAUCUGAAUGUUCACAUGUUAAGGGUUCAACUUUGGACGCAAAUAAAUUUGAAGGGACUGCUGAUGUGCUCAUUGAAGACUCUAUUCAUGAGCCUGCAAAAAUCUACGAUGCUAGAAAUACAGAAGUAAAUUCCAGCAAUCUGGAAGAUACAUGCAGUGAAAAGGUGGUCUCCGAAUCCAGUUCUCAUACAAAAUCAAUUACUGGUGGUAACAUCUGUUCUGAUAGUAAGAAGAUGAAAGAUCACAACUCCACAAGAUUUUCUGGUCAAUGGAAUUCAACUCUUCGAGAUGUGAAUUUUGUUGAAAACUAUUUUAAGAAUUCAAGGCUGCACUUCAUAGGAACCUGGAGAAACCGGUACCGCAAACGUUUUCUUAACUUAUUGCACGGAGAUCAUCAUGGAAAUUCUGCCGUUGAUGCUCUCAAUUGCACCCAGAGCCCUACUAUUAUCCAUAUUGACAUGGAUUGUUUUUUUGUAUCAGUUAUUACAAGAAACCAUCGUGAUUUAUGUGAGAGUCCAGCAGCUGUAUGCCAUUCAGAUAAUUUAAAAGGAACAGCAGAAAUAUCUUCUGCAAAUUACCCGGCGCGCGAUUAUGGAGUUAAAGCUGGUAUGUUUGUUAGAGAUGCCAAGGCUCUUUGUCCUCAUCUUCAGAUUUUUCCAUAUGAUUUUGAAUCUUAUGAGGUGGUUGCUGACCAGUUCUAUGAGAUUUUGCAUAAGCAUUGCAACAAAGUGCAGGCAGUUAGCUGCGAUGAAGCAUUUUUGGAUGUUUCAGAUCUGGCGCACAAAAAUCCUGAGCACAUUGCUUCCAUUAUCCGACAAGAAAUAUUUGACACCACAGGGUGUACAGCCAGUGCAGGAAUUGCCGGAAAUUUUCUCAUGGCUCGAUUGUCUACGAGGAAAGCUAAACCUAAUGGUCAAUAUUUUAUCUCUUCUGCCAAGGUGGAUGAGCACCUUAUUGGUCUCCCAGUUAAGGAGCUCCCUGGAGUAGGACGUGCCUUAGAGGAGAAAUUGACAAAUCGGAAUAUUCGAACUUGUGACCAUCUUCGUGCCAUUCCUAAGGAAGUUCUCCAAAAUGAGUUUGGUGUAAAGAUUGGUGAGUUGCUGUGGCAUUAUUGCAGGGGAGUUGACAAUCGCUCAGUUCAAGUGGUUCAGGAGAACAAAUCUGUUGGGGCUGAAGUGAACUGGGGUGUGAGGUUCAAUGAACUAAAAGACAGUCAAGAGUUUCUUGUCAACCUAUGCAAGGAGGUCUCCCUUCGCUUGCAAGGAUUAGGACUGCAAGGGCGCACCAUAACACUUAAGGUGAAGAAAAAGAAAAAGGGUGCUCCGGAUCCUGCAAAAUAUAUGGGAUGUGGCGACUGCAAAAAUCUUAGCCAUUCCAUGACAAUUCAUGCUGCUACAGAUAAUGUAGAUGUGCUUUUAAGGAUAAGCAGGCAACUUUUUUCUUCCCUUAAUUUAGAUGUAAGAGAAGUAAGGGGUUUAGGCUUGAUGGUGUCAAGGCUGGAAACAGCAGAGUUCAUGCAACAAGGUAGUGAAAGAAAUGGUUUGAGAGCAUGGCUUGCUUCAGCCUCAGAAACUAACAAAGAAUCAUGUAAUAUAGUUCAUUCUGCCAAUGAUAAUGUAUCUAAAGGGGCAUUGUCUGUUGAUGGUUAUGGGAGUUCCAGUUCAGUUCAGCAUGAAACACAGUUUGCUCAAAGCUUUGCACAAGCAAGCACAAAGGUGAUGAGUUCCUCAGAAAAAGGGAAAUGUAAAGAGAUGGUCUCCCCACUAGUACCAAUGUCUCAGCUUGAUUUAGAAGUCCUGGAGAGUCUGCCACAUGACAUCCAUUUUGAGAUUAAUCAAAUGUAUAAAGGCAAACUUACUGACUUGAUGGAAAAUUGUAAAUACAUAAGAAACGAUGUCCCCCCUGUAAAAUCGAUUCCAGAAGCAAUAAAGGAGAACCCAUCUGCAAGUUGCUCAAAAUCUCUACCUGAUGGUCCUUCCAAAGCAAUGCGUCAUUGUCAUAGUGAUCUCUCAGAUUCAACAUCACAAUUUAAAAUUUCGGUCAAGCAUUCAAUAGGUUCUCCUGUCACUGACCAUGUUACUCUUCCUGCUAAACAUAAAGUAGAAAUAGAAAACCUUGAGAGGAUCGAAGCAGCCUCCAUUUCUCCCACUGGAGACAUAAAUAUGCAUGCUACCAUCAUGAAGGGGAACAUGGCAGAUGUGAUGCCUGCAUCUACACGUAAAGUCGCCAGAUCAGUUAUACGAGAUUUGCCCGAUAAUUUACACCAUGAUAUUCUUGAUUCACUUCCUGUGCAUUUUCAAAAAUCUGGUGAUUCUAUUUUAGUUUGCGAGAAUGUUUGCCCUGGUGAAAUAUUCAAGUCAGACACUACUGAAAGCUCUAGGGGAAGGAUGGGUAGUGUUGUUAAUAUACAUAUGUGGAAAGGGAAUCCUCCGUCUUGGAUUUCGAAGUUUAAGCAUAGCAACUUCUUAAUAUUAAAUCUUUUGGCAGAAUAUUACAGCAUGUUUGGCGAACCUGGCCUGCUGUCCAAUACUCUGCAACGUCUCUUAUCGGCCCAAGCUCUAGAUCUUGAUGCUGGGAAUAAUGAAUGGGAUAAGGCUCUAUCAAGUUGUUGUGAGCUUCUUACACAGUACAUUGAGCUAAAAAUUAAAUCAGACAUGGAGGAGAUAUUUAUUUGCUUUCGGCUUCUGAAAAGGUUUUUUGGAAAGUCGAGUUUUCUCACAGAAGUAUACAACAGAGUCCUUCCUUUUCUGCAGGUGUCUUAGAAGUUGCACUUUUCUUCUUACUAUACAGAGCUAGAGUUACCUAUCACCUCCCCAAGUGUCAGAUGUCAACAAAGGACACUUUGGGACUGCCAUUCAACCAUGUGAAAAGUCCAUCAAAAAUUUAAACCGAGGACUGAGACGCCUCAACCAUCCCUUGUUGACAUAUGAUGGUUGCAAAGAUGUUAGGAAAUUGUGGGAGAUGCAAGUGCUACCAUUGUUUGUAAACCUUAUUUAGAAAUGGCAAUGAGAGGGGUUUCCUUUACCUUUAUAUUGAGAAGAUUUUAUCAGAGAUCCCAUCUGGGAAACAGAUUAUUCUGAACCUUAUGCAUCAAAUCAUGCCGAAAAAUAUUAAAUUGUCUUUGGCUCUCAGCUUUUGGCAAAGAGAAUGUCGUGAAAAGUUGAUCUGGUCAGAGAGGCCAAUAACAACAGAAAAAGCAGUGAAGCUUAGGCUAUGGAAGAAACUUUGUUACUUAAAUCUGCACUGUGGCUCAAAUAUUGAUCAAAUUUUCUUGGAGCUAAUAUCCUACAUCCAUUCCUUUCCUUGAGCUCUCCUCAGUUUGCAUCUGCUGGUGAAAAUUAUGGAGGGAACUUAUUACUUUGACAUGCCAUUGGAAUGGGCCGCAGAUAAUAUCCUCAUUCUAUUUCUGAGAA
Amborella trichopoda is the source of this 4370-nucleotide non-coding RNA. The record is from RefSeq and is a predicted model, not a curated record. Lineage: Eukaryota; Viridiplantae; Streptophyta; Magnoliopsida; Amborellales; Amborellaceae.